AUAAUGAUGUAUAAAAUAAAUAUUUUUGGGAGAUGACGCCGAAGACAUUUUAAAUAAGUUUCGAAAUUACGUGUAUUAAAAUGUUCUAUGAACACAUUAUUUUGGCCAAGAAGGGUCCUUUGGCCAGGAUCUGGUUAGCAGCUCACUGGGACAAAAAGAUUACAAAAGCCCAUGUAUUUGAAACGAAUAUUGAAAAAUCAGUGGAAGGCAUUUUGCAGCCCAAAGUAAAAUUGGCGCUAAGAACGUCUGGUCAUUUGUUGCUUGGAGUUGUGCGCAUUUAUUCAAGAAAAGCUAAGUAUUUAUUAGCUGAUUGCAAUGAAGCAUUUGUUAAGAUUAAGAUGGCUUUUCGACCAGGCAUGGUCGACCUACCAGAAGGUCACAGAGAAGCGAAUGUUAAUGCAAUAACACUACCCGAAGUUUUUCAUGACUUUGACACGGCGUUACCCGAAUUGAACGAUAUUGACAUUGAAGCUCAAUUUUCCAUUAACCAGUCCAGAGCUGACGAGAUAACAAUGAGAGAAGAUUACGGCAGCUUAACUAUCUCUCUACAAGAUGAUGGCUUUGGAGACAUAGGUUUCGAAGCGGAAACACCAGAAAUUAUGCGAGGAUCUAUAACUUCAAAUAUCAAUGACAAGCUAUUUGACAGUGACGUGUUGGAAAAUAUUGUGUCACUGGAGCCACAUUCAACCGACGACCAUGCUGAUAUAUCUGGAGCUCGAUUAGAUGGUGAUGGAUUUGGAGAUUCUUUUGGACAGCCAGAACUUUUUGAAGAUGACCUUUUUGGAGAACCUUCUCAACCAGUCGAGCAGAUUAAAAAACCUUCAGACGUAAUCAUCGCUGAUGAUUCUGACGAAGAUGACAUUAUUAAUUGUAACAACAUUCCUUCGCCUGCCCCAUCGUUUAUAAAUUCAGUUGUUGAUGAGAAAGAUGAAACUAAUUUGCCAGAACCAUCCAAUGUGUCUGAUAAUGUGCUAAUAAAUGAAGUAACUCUUAUUCCAAACGAGGAUGAGGGAUUUGCAUUAGCUCCUCUUGAUGCAACCAUUUAUAGGGGCGUGACAAAGGCGAAGCGUAAGAGAAAACUUAUUAUUGACGAAAUCAAAAAUAUUUCUGGAGAAGAAAUGAAGGCUCAAUUGGCAGAUACUUCUGAUAUAUUAACAACACUGGAUCUGGCUCCACCUACAAAAAGGUUAAUGUAUUGGAAAGAAACAGGAGGCGUUGAAAAACUGUUCUCAUUACCAUCAAGAUCCAUACCUGCCAGGUCCUUACUUACUAAUUACAACAGACAGUUGUUUUCACAUUCAACAUUCUUUGAAGACUUUUCAAGUGUUGCUCCUAUGGAAAUUCUUGCACUGGAAUUUUAUGCUCAAGAAAACGAAAAUUCAUUAAUUAUUUUUAAUAAAAAAGGACGCAAACGUAAAAACGAUCUUUCUUCCCAUCAGUUUUUGGACCAUGUAGCAGAUUCACUUAUUCAAAGCCUAGAGACCCCUGAAACCUUAAGAGAAGAUAAGAAACCUCUAGGGCUGUCUGCCGUUUCUUUGGACAUUGCAACAAAAGACCAAGAAAGUAUUGCUUGUCAAAACGAAUCAACUCUUUUUGAUAAUGUGCGAAGUCCAGACUUAUUAUCCUUAAAUGAAAUGGAACAAUUUUCAUCAAUAAAUGAACUGCCAUUAACACCAAGAAACACAAAUCAUGACAUGGGGGAUGAUUUUAAUCAAGGAGACUCAACGCCAGCUGGAUUGGAUCAUGGCCAAACAAGCCCGCAGCAAUCAAAUAUUGUCGAGAUGGAUAAUAUCCCAAUUAUACCUACAGAUCAAAUUAGCGCAAUUUUAAAUGAAUCUAUUGAACGGCCUUUAUUAAAUGACAUUGGAUUUUUAAAAAAAACAAACAAUAUUCUAAAAGGAUGGAACAACUAUGAUGUUCCAACUUUUGUUGGUCAGAGUCAUAGUGACGAACAAAUUAUUUACACUCUAACAUUUUAUAAAAUCGGACAAUUCAUUAAAGUUAUGUCCGCCGCUAAAUGGAGUAGUUUGCGAAAUCGGAAAUAGUCGCUAUGGUUCCCACAUUUUUGUAGCUAGAGAAUUUAAAUUUGACAUUCAGAUUAUAUUAGUGCCAAUAAAGUCAAUGUUUGCACUGGACGACCACUCUGAAGCCCGAAAUUCCAAUAGUUUGUGCACCUCCAUUUUUGAAGAUUUUACACUUUAUUUUUUUUAGUCAUAGUGACGAGCAAAUGGAAAAUGAGACCGACGAACAAUUCGAAGAACGUGUGUUAAAUAAGAGAGCCGCACAACUUUUUAUUGACGUUCGAGCACAGUUUAUCG
Molecule: non-coding RNA, 2318 nt
Organism: Drosophila suzukii
Lineage: Eukaryota; Metazoa; Arthropoda; Insecta; Diptera; Drosophilidae
Source: RefSeq, a predicted model, not a curated record